AUUGAACGCUGGCGGCAUGCUUUACACAUGCAAGUCGAACGGCAGCGCGGGCUUCGGCCUGGCGGCGAGUGGCGAACGGGUGAGUAAUGCAUCGGAACGUGCCCAGUAGUGGGGGAUAGCCCGGCGAAAGCCGGAUUAAUACCGCAUACGACCUGAGGGUGAAAGCGGGGGACCGAAAGGCCUCGCGCUAUUGGAUCGGCCGAUGUCGGAUUAGCUAGUUGGUGGGGUAAAGGCUUACCAAGGCGACGAUCCGUAGCUGGUCUGAGAGGACGACCAGCCACACUGGGACUGAGACACGGCCCAGACUCUUACGGGAGGCAGCAGUGGGGAAUUUUGGACAAUGGGGGCAACCCUGAUCCAGCCAUGCCGCGUGCGGGAAGAAGGCCUUCGGGUUGUAAACCGCUUUUGUUCGGGAAGAAAUCCUCUGGGCUAAUACCCCGGGGGGAUGACGGUACCGGAAGAAUAAGCACCGGCUAACUACGUG
This 484-nucleotide ribosomal RNA is filed under the name uncultured bacterium. RNAcentral describes it as "partial 16S ribosomal RNA". It matches the Rfam family "Bacterial small subunit ribosomal RNA", at positions 28 to 507 of the family's 1533-position model. The record is from RNAcentral.